GCAGGCAUAAUUUAACCCCAAAAUCUUAAGUUGUGGACUUAAAAAUAAAGACUCAUCACCUUUUGCCUACC
Molecule: transfer RNA, 71 nt
Filed under: Hemidactylus luqueorum
Lineage: Eukaryota; Metazoa; Chordata; Lepidosauria; Squamata; Gekkonidae
Description: tRNA-His
Source: RNAcentral